CCUACGGGUGGCUGUAGUGGGGAAUAUUGCACAAUGGGGGAAACCCUGAUGCAGCGACGCCGCGUGAGUGAAGAAGUAUUUCGGUACGUAAAGCUCUAUCAGCAGGGAAGAAAAAAAGUCCUUUGGACUUUGGACGGUACCUGACUAAGAAGCCCCGGCUAACUACGUGCCAGCAGCCGCGGUAAUACGUAGGGGGCAAGCGUUAUCCGGAUUUACUGGGUGUAAAGGGAGCGUAGACGGCAGCGCAAGUCUGGAGUGAAAUGCUGGGGCCCAACCCCGGAACUGCUUUGGAAACUGUGCAGCUGGAGUGCAGGAGAGGUAAGCGGAAUUCCUAGUGUAGCGGUGAAAUGCGUAGAUAUUAGGAGGAACACCAGUGGCGAAGGCGGCUUACUGGACUGUAACUGACGUUGAGGCUCGAAAGCGUGGGGAGCAAACAGGAUUAGAUACCCGGGUAGUC
RNAcentral lists this ribosomal RNA (457 nucleotides) under uncultured bacterium. RNAcentral's name for it is "partial 16S ribosomal RNA". It matches the Rfam family "Bacterial small subunit ribosomal RNA", at positions 338 to 795 of the family's 1533-position model. The record is from RNAcentral.